This 297-nucleotide ribosomal RNA is filed under the name Triticum aestivum (bread wheat). Its description in RNAcentral is "partial small subunit ribosomal RNA". Lineage: Eukaryota; Viridiplantae; Streptophyta; Magnoliopsida; Poales; Poaceae. The record is from RNAcentral.
AUGUCUGAAGUUUUCAAUAGUUGGAUCUUGGACGCUAGAGAACUACCCAUUAAGUUAAUGUUGGAUAGAAUGAAUGACAAGAUCACAACAAGGAUGUACAACAAGCAAAAGGAGGUGGCCACUGAUAGGAAAUGGACUAGAAGAUUGUGCCCAAAAAUUCAGAAGAAACUUGACAAGUUUACUGAAUGGGCUGCUCACUGCAUGGUUCAAGGGGCAGGUCAAAAGGUUUUCAAGAUGUUGUCAAUGAACCAUUCUUAUAUAGUUGAUUUGAACAAUGAGAGUUGUGAUUGCAAAAGA